This is a non-coding RNA of Ataeniobius toweri, 74 nucleotides long. Lineage: Eukaryota; Metazoa; Chordata; Actinopteri; Cyprinodontiformes; Goodeidae. The record is from the annotation of a GenBank genome assembly.
CUCCACGGUGGUGCAGUUAGUAGCACUGUUGCCUUGCAACAAGAAGGCCCUGGGUUCAAUUCCCAUCUGGGGGU